CAAUUCUCAAAAGAAAGAGAAACAAGCUUAACCUUUUUCUGCCAGAAAACAAAAUCUCCCUUUCUUCUCCUCCUGAAGCUUCUCUUAGCCCUGUUUACGUCAGUCAAUUUGCAUGCCUUAAUGCACCUAAAUCGAAGCCUCUGAUCGAAAAACGUUCUUCAUCAAAGUUGUUCAUCAUCAUCUCAUCUAUAACAUAUCCAAAAAUCAGUGCGAUCAGAUCUGUAAUGAAGUCUGUACAUCGAUCUGAGUAGAGGUAGCUCAGAAAUCAGCAGAUUUCGAGUUUCAGCUUUUCUUUAUCCUCUUUCCUUAUCAGGAUUCCUCAAAUUCCUUUGGAAAUAAUUCUAUUAUGAGUGGCAUUCCUUGAUAUAUGACUGGGCUUGGCCAAAUUCGUCUUGUCUCUCCAUCUUUUCCUGUCGAAUGUCAUGAGGGAACUCAGCCAUACGUUUGAUUCAGUGGGCCUCCUAUAACUCAAAGGAGAUCAGUGGACGAUGGCGUUGCAUCGAUUAUUCACCCAACAUCGCUUAGCUUUGGACUCCAGAUAAUGAGGGUGACUUGAGAGUGAGAGGAGCAUAGCGACUUCCUUGGGCUUCGAUCCCCUAAACCUCCGGAGGGGCCGUAUGGACGGUAGAGUGUCUGACAUCCUUUGAGGUGUGGCACUGCUUCUAGGUGAUACGGCGUAAGUGGACACUCUCGCUACGCCUUGCCGGUUUAAACGAUAGUAAUCGUGGUAAGGGUGUAGUUGGCUUUAUGAUCGGUCAUCAGGUUUGUUAAUCGGAUAUCCGAACAUUUGAGUUUACAGAAAAUGUUUUCAAUGUGGAUUUUAUCUAUAUAUGUAGUUUUUACUUACUCGCCGGCACCCAUGUUUAUAUAUUACAAUUGUUUUCAAACCUAGCUAGGGUUGAGCCAUAUUGGGCCCGCGAGGACGAGUGCUCAUCCCUACAACAGUUGUGUGAUUGCAGGUACUGUGCACGAAGACGGGACAGCUAGGAUUGGCGAUGGGUGUGGCAUGCUUUCUCUCAAUUUUGAAUUUGUGUAUUGUCGAAAAGUUGUUCCGGUUAACAGGUUUUGGAUUGUGGAUUCCAAAUCCUAUUAUUCAUCUCAUAAUUCUAUCUAUUUCAUAAUUCCUUGUUUUGUAGUAAGUUUGUAACAAUUGAUCAGAACAUCCUCUUCAAUUAUUUUCUGCUGGUUAUGUGUUUGCUAUGAAGUUAUUGGUUCAGAAAUUG
Rosa rugosa (rugosa rose) is the source of this 1223-nucleotide long non-coding RNA. RefSeq lists it as uncharacterized. NCBI's taxonomy places the organism in Eukaryota, Viridiplantae, Streptophyta, Magnoliopsida, Rosales, Rosaceae. The record is from RefSeq and is a predicted model, not a curated record. The transcript is spliced from 4 exons.